UUGACAAUUUUAUGGACAAAACUUCGGUCCAUCCCUACUAGCAGAGUGAUACGUACCAACACUGAUCUCUCUCUCUCUCUCUCUCUCUCUCUCUCUCUCUCUCUCUCUCUCUCUCUCUCUCUCUCUCUCUCUCUUUCUCUGUGUGUCCUCCGCAGGUCUUAAGACGUACCUGAUAUCGGGGCGGAAGGUGAAGUUGUGUCAGUGGAUGAGUCCUCCUCCUCCGUCUGAGAUCAGAGCGUCUGUCAGCUCCUCGUCCUUCAGUCCAGACGUCUCCGCAUCGGCCGGCGCUCCCACAGACGCACCGGACAGAGCCAAGUCCGCCUGUCCCUCAUGUAGCCUGAUAACAUCUGAAGACGGACUUGUUCACAGCAACAGCUGCACAGAUCCUGAACACAAAACCAGCAACAGCAAGGUGCCGGCAGGCAGGGGUCCUAAAAGUGUGAAUGGGCUGUUGAGUCCUGGUGUGGAGCAGCCGCUGACGCACAGCCAGACGUCUCUGUGUGAGAUGCUGCAGGACAAGGAGAAGAAGUGGCCCGCCGUCGGAGGAGGAACCAUGGACCACUCUGCCCUCAUCCCUCUGCGCUCCAAGAACUUCCGCGAGAGGAGCGACGCGCACUUCGUGGACGUGAUAAAAGAGGACAGGUAGGAGUCCGCGGCCCGCUGGGACAUGAAUGUCAGACAAGAUGGAGCGGUAUUGUUUAACGGCGGCCGGCGGAGGUCAUGCUGUGCCCGCAGGGACUCUGCAUGCUGUUUGAUGUAGUGUGCGAGUGAGUGUGUGUGUGUGUGAGUGAUGCACUGUGGGCCAUUUCUCAUGUCUUUCUCUCUAAACGCUGUCA
This 836-nucleotide long non-coding RNA is filed under the name Danio rerio (zebrafish). Its description in RNAcentral is "lncRNA (ENSDARG00000117690.1)". The record is from RNAcentral. Lineage: Eukaryota; Metazoa; Chordata; Actinopteri; Cypriniformes; Danionidae.